GGUUGGAUCAUUAUCAAAAGAAGUGCUUUAGAGCACCCUUUAACCGCUGGUGGCUAUCUAAACAAUGGCUGCCAGUCAACCUUGUGUGAAUCGUUAUUGUCUCUGGCAGUCUCUGCUUGCGGGUAGCAGGUACUUGUACUUGUUGCUAGCGGCAGCUGCCAGUCUAUUUGUUAAACCCCUUUUUUUAAACCCGUCUUAAUCAAAUAUUAAAUUUGAAACAACUUUUGACAACGGAUCUCUUGGCUCUCGCAACGAUGAAGAACGCAGCGAAAUGCGAUACGUAGUGUGAAUUGCAGAACCGUGAAUCAUCGAAUCUUUGAACGCAUAUUGCGCCUUUGGGUAUCCCUGGAGGCAUGCCUGUUUGAGAAUCAUUUAACUCAUCACCCCAAGGUUGGAGUCUAGGCUCUGGCUUGAGUGUGGAUUUGGGCCGUUGCAGUCUGACUGCAUGGCCUUGAAUGCAUUGACCCGACUCUGGUUUUACUUUACCCAAGUCAAAGUGUUAUCAAUUAUGGCCUUGGCUGUAUAUUUCACUGCGCCCUGGGUAAGCAACGGUAGAUCCAUUCUUGCUGGGCUCACUUUAACUGUUCUUACGAAUAGACCCUUCUCGCUGGUAGCGUUAUGCUCGCUGGCUUGAUAUCUUGGUCUCAAAUCAGGCAAGAGUACCCGCUGAACUUAAGCAUAUCAAUAAGCGGAGGAAAAGAAACUAACAAGGAUUCCCCUAGUAACGGCGAGUGAAGCGGGAAAAGCUCAAAUUUGAAAUCUUUCGGGUUCCCUGAACGAAUUGUAGUUUCGAGAAGUAUUUUCGGAGGCAAGCCAGGCAUAAGUCACUUGGAACAGGGCAUCGUAGAGGGUGACAAUCCCGUCUUUGGUCUGGUCUUUGCUUCCAUGUGAUAUACUUUCAAAGAGUCGGGUUGUUUGGGAAUGCAGCCCAAAAUGGGUGGUAAAUACCAUCUAAAGCUAAAUAACGGCGAGAGACCGAUAGCGAACAAGUACCGUGAGGGAAAGAUGAAAAGAACUUUGAAAAGAGAGUUAAAUAGUACGUGAAAUUGUCAAAAGGGAAACGCUUGAAACCAGUAUUGGCUGUUGAAUACCACAUGUUCUCUUGGGAAUGAGUGCUCUAUUCAGCAGGCGAGUCAACAUCAGUUUGACUUGGAGGAAAAACUUUGAGAAAGGUAGCCUUCGGGCAUUAUAGUCUCAAAGCAUACUCUGGGUUAGACUGAGGUUUGCAGGGCAACCUUGGAGGAACUAGUCGCCUUUUGAGUCAAGUGUAUAGACAGCGUGCUGACUAUGCUCGUGGUGAUAAAGCCCGGUUAGCUUACUACCUUUGCCCUUUGGAUGUUGACGAAAUGGUUUUAAACGACCCGUCUUGAAACACGGACCAAGGAGUCUAACAUAUAUGCGAGUAUUUGGGUGGUAAACCCAUGUGCGUAAUGAAAGUGAUAAGGUGGGAUCUUCGGUGCACCAUCGACCGGUCUGGAUUUUUUUGAUAGAUCUGAGUAAGAGCAUAUCUGUUGGGACCCGAAAGAUGGUGAACUAUGCCUGAAUAGGGUGAAGCCAGAGGAAACUCUGGUGGAGGCUCGUAGAGAUUCUGACGUGCAAAUCGAUCUUCAAAUUUGGGUAUAGGGGCGAAAGACUAAUCGAACCAUCUAGUAGCUGGUUCCCUC
RNAcentral lists this unclassified non-coding RNA (1664 nucleotides) under uncultured fungus. RNAcentral's name for it is "sequence contains 18S rRNA gene, ITS1, 5.8S rRNA gene, ITS2, 28S rRNA gene". The stretch from base 640 to 1664 matches the Rfam family "Eukaryotic large subunit ribosomal RNA", at positions 1 to 961 of the family's 3401-position model. Lineage: Eukaryota; Fungi. The record is from RNAcentral.